ACAAAAAUCCCUGGUGUCUCAUGGCUCUGCGUGAUAGCCCGCGUGCCGGCCAUCGCUGUCUGCCUCUCUGCGCUGACCCAGCGGCGCUGUGACGCAGCCUCUGUGUGUGGUCGCAGCGAGGAGGGAGUGACGGAGCCCACGUGCGGUGCUGGGCACAGCAAGUGCCAUUUGGGGAAGGAGGAGCAGACAAAGAAACUGGAGUUUGCAGGCAUCAGCACUGCUCGCUCCCGGGCACUGACAGGCUUGCUGGGAAGUUGUAGGCGGCCUCUGUGCCCCAGUCGAAGGAGUGAAGAUGCCCGCAUUAUGUCCUUGUUGAGGUCUUCCAUCAUCUCGCUUUGCUGGGGACUGCCUCAGUGUAGCACUGAAAACUCCUGCACCCCAGGACACCCCCCUGGCCUGGGCCCGCCUGGACAACUGGUCUCCCCGCGAGGCUCCCAGGCCCUGCAGGGUCCCUGAGAGGCAGACUCAGCGUGAGGCAUCUCACAGGUGCUGGAGGCCAUGUUCCAGGCCCAAGAGCAACCUCAGGCUGGAAGAGACAGCUGCCUCCCCUCCGCCAAUACCCCUUGGGCGGGAAUGAUUGCAGUGCGUGGAGCGGUAAGGCCAGGACACGUGCGGCAGCCUUGGCUGAGCUGUGCCCUGCUUCUGAGCCCAUGGGCUCCCCAGAACCGACCACCGGGUUUUCCUCCUGCCUGUGUGCGUUCCACAGGCUCUGCCUGAGGUCCUCAGAGUGCGCCCCAGGCCUGCAGCCUCAGCACCACCUGGGAAGUUAGAAAAGCCAAGCUUUGGGCCUCUGGGGCUGGGACCCUGUCCUCCAGGUGAGCUGAUGCUGCUGACCCUGGAGAACCCCUAGGCUAUCGGGGGGCAAAGCCCCAUCCAAUUCGCUCACUCAGCCACAGCCAUCGUCAGGGCCCACACCCCUGGCUUGCGAGGCAGCCGUGGGCAGGACCCCAUUUCACAGAUGAGCAAACUGAUCACUCAGGCACUGGGCUCUGUGCUCGUCCCACAAACAGCCAGGCCGCACUGAGGCUCUGUGUGCUGUGGUGCCUUGACCCGGCUGUCCAGCUCUGCCAGGUCCCCUGGCCCUGCAGCAGAGGGGGGAUGAUGAUUCAGUGGCCUCAGUUUGCCGAUCUGUGGAAAGGAGCCAUGAAAAUUCCAUGAGGAAACGCAAGGCAGGAGGCACCUGGCAGAAAACACCCAGCCUGUGCCGGGGCUCCGUUCCUCCUGGGAGCUUGCAAAGACAGGAAAUUGCCCUGUGCCUUAGUUUACCUAUUAGCACCAAGGGGAGGAGGUCCCACUCUGUGGUCCUGGGCAGGUUCUGAAGCCUUUCUGGCAUAAGCCAGCACUUGUGGUCUUCAGGCCCUGCCUGUGUUGCUCACCUCUCCCAAAUACUCCUCCGUUCAAUGACCGUGCGUUUGCAAAACUGCCAGGCAUGAAGCGAUCCCUUUGUAGC
Molecule: long non-coding RNA, 1450 nt
Filed under: Oryctolagus cuniculus (rabbit)
Lineage: Eukaryota; Metazoa; Chordata; Mammalia; Lagomorpha; Leporidae
Description: lncRNA (ENSOCUG00000039127.1)
Source: RNAcentral